RNAcentral lists this transfer RNA (73 nucleotides) under Felis catus (domestic cat). It matches the Rfam family "tRNA". Rfam says of the family: Transfer RNA (tRNA) molecules are approximately 80 nucleotides in length. Their secondary structure includes four short double-helical elements and three loops (D, anti-codon, and T loops). RNAcentral also lists the same sequence under 3 other names. The record is from Rfam by way of RNAcentral. Lineage: Eukaryota; Metazoa; Chordata; Mammalia; Carnivora; Felidae.
GCCUGGCUGGCUCAGGCUGAAGAGCGUGUGACUCUUGAUCGCGGGGUUGUGAGUUCAAGCCCCACGUUGGGUG